Long non-coding RNA from Carassius carassius (crucian carp), 287 nucleotides. RefSeq lists it as uncharacterized. NCBI's taxonomy places the organism in Eukaryota, Metazoa, Chordata, Actinopteri, Cypriniformes, Cyprinidae. The record is from RefSeq and is a predicted model, not a curated record. The transcript is spliced from 3 exons.
CUGGAAAAGAGCAGAACAAUUUGUGGUACUUUAAAGAGCUGAAGUCGAUGACACCAUGACAGGAGAUUCUGUUGAAAAUGUAACAAGUACGAGAUGUUUAUAUACCAGCCAUAAAUGAUUUUGAGAAAUAUCAUCACAACUCUACAAACACCAGCAUACUGAAGUAGAGCUCAGUACAGUUUAUCCACACUCGUCUCAGUAUGCCUCAUUCCCUACAGUUCAGAACACAACCCGAUCCAUAAGUUACUGAAAACACACCGGCAGAAAUGCCGCAUCCGCACCGCAAC